GAUCCUGGCUCAGGAUGAACGCUGGCGGCGUGCUUAACACAUGCAAGUCGAACGGGAAAUACUUUAUUGAAACUUCGGUCGAUUUAAUUUAUUUCUAGUGGCGGACGGGUGAGUAACGCGUGGGUAACCUGCCUUAUACCGGGGGAUAACAGCCAGAAAUGACUGCUAAUACCGCAUAAGCGCACAGAACCGCAUGGUUCGGUGUGAAAAACUCCGGUGGUAUAAGAUGGACCCGCGUUGGAUUAGCUAGUUGGCAGGG
Molecule: ribosomal RNA, 259 nt
Filed under: uncultured bacterium
Lineage: Bacteria
Description: partial 16S ribosomal RNA
Rfam family: Bacterial small subunit ribosomal RNA
Source: RNAcentral